AGCGUCCGACAGGGGAGCGCCGGGGGCCAGAGCCGGAGGCGCUGAGAGUGCGGGAGAGCCGCAGACCCUCGAACCUGCUCCGGUUAGUACCGGCGAAGGAAGUCGAAGGAGACUCCCG
Molecule: non-coding RNA, 118 nt
Filed under: Marmoricola sp. Leaf446
Lineage: Bacteria; Bacillati; Actinomycetota; Actinomycetes; Propionibacteriales; Nocardioidaceae
Also listed under: 1 other name
Description: TPP riboswitch aptamer (THI element)
Rfam family: TPP riboswitch aptamer (THI element)
About the family: Vitamin B(1) in its active form thiamin pyrophosphate (TPP) is an essential coenzyme that is synthesised by coupling of pyrimidine and thiazole moieties in bacteria. The previously detected thiamin-regulatory element, thi box was extended, resulting in a new, highly conserved RNA secondary structure, the THI element, which is widely distributed in eubacteria and also occurs in some archaea.
Source: Rfam by way of RNAcentral